UACGUAGGGGGCAAGCGUUGUCCGGAAUCAUUGGGCGUAAAGAGCGUGUAGGCGGCCCGGUAAGUCCGCUGUGAAAGUCCAGGGCUCAACCCUGGGAUGCCGGUGGAUACUGUCGGGCUCGAGUCCGGAAGAGGAGUGUGGAAUUCCUGGUGUAGCGGUGAAAUGCGCAGAUAUCGGGAGGAACACCAGUGGCGAAGGCGGCACUCUGGGCCGGUACUGACGCUGAGGAGCGAAAGCGUGGGGAGCGAACAGG
RNAcentral lists this ribosomal RNA (253 nucleotides) under uncultured bacterium. RNAcentral's name for it is "partial 16S ribosomal RNA". It matches the Rfam family "Bacterial small subunit ribosomal RNA", at positions 524 to 776 of the family's 1533-position model. The record is from RNAcentral.